CGAGAGAACGCUGGCGGCGUGGAUUAGGCAUGCAAGUCGGACGGUAGGGCUUUAUCGUAAGAUAGAGUUUGAGAGUGGCGAACGGGUGAGUAACACGUAGGAAUCUACCCUUAAGACGGGGACAACCCAGGGAAACUUGGGCUAAUACCGGAUGAGAGUGCGAGAGAUUGCAUUUAAAAGGAUGGCGAAAGUUGUCGCUUAGGGAUGAGCCUGCGGUCUAUUAGUUAGUUGGUGAGGUAAGAGCUCACCAAGGCGAUGAUAGAUAGGCGGCCCUAACGGGUGGUCGCCCACACUGGGAUUGAGAUACGGACCAGACUCCUACGGGAGGCAGCAGUGAGGAAUCUUGGUCAAUGGACGGAAGUCUGAACCAGCCAUGUCGCGUGAAGGAGGACGGCCCUAAGGGUUGUAAACUUCUUUGACGAGGGAAGAAAGAAAUGACGGUACCUCGAAAACAAGCCACGGCUAACUACGUG
This 473-nucleotide ribosomal RNA is filed under the name uncultured bacterium. Its description in RNAcentral is "bacterial SSU rRNA". It matches the Rfam family "Bacterial small subunit ribosomal RNA", at positions 31 to 507 of the family's 1533-position model. The record is from RNAcentral.